GGAUGUGAGGGCGAUCUGGCUGCGACAUCUGUCACCCCAUUGAUCGCCAGGGUUGAUUCGGCUGAUCUGGCUGGCUAGGCGGGUGUCCCCUUCCUCCCUCACCGCUCCAUGUGCGUCCCUCCCGAAGCUGCGCGCUCGGUCGAAGAGGACGACCUUCCCCGAUAGAGGAGAGGACCGUUCUUCGGUCAAGGAUAUACCAGUAGCUGCGCUCCCCUGCUAGAACCUCCAAACAAGCUCUCAAGAUUUUACUCAUUUUUUUGACAGAGAGAGAGAGAGAGUACACAAGUAGGGGGAGAAGCAGUCAGAGGGGUAGAAGCAGGCUCCCCAAUUAGCAGGGAGCCUGACAU
Molecule: unclassified non-coding RNA, 347 nt
Organism: Mustela putorius furo (domestic ferret)
Lineage: Eukaryota; Metazoa; Chordata; Mammalia; Carnivora; Mustelidae
Gene: 7SK
Rfam family: 7SK RNA
About the family: 7SK was discovered as an abundant small nuclear RNA in the mid-70s but a possible function has only recently been suggested. Two independent studies have found that 7SK RNA binds the CDK9/cyclin T complex (known as elongation factor P-TEFb). P-TEFb activates transcription by phosphorylating the C-terminal domain of RNA polymerase II.
Source: Ensembl